Long non-coding RNA from Salvia splendens (bonfire salvia), 1035 nucleotides. RefSeq lists it as uncharacterized. The record is from RefSeq and is a predicted model, not a curated record. The transcript has 2 exons. Lineage: Eukaryota; Viridiplantae; Streptophyta; Magnoliopsida; Lamiales; Lamiaceae.
AAGUGGAAACUUAUUCCUAUUAACUAUUAUGCCUACACGUACAUACCACCUGUUCCAUUUAACAAAAAAAAAGACAUGCUUUAGAUUAAAAUAAUGUUAAAAGGAGGGUACAUAUAUUUUUUCUUAAGAAAGAAACAAGAGAGCACAAAUCUCCUUCCAAAACUCGUCGCCUCUCUCUUCUGCAAAUUCUCAACCAAGAACAUCCCAGAUUUUUUAUUCAAAUUUGCAACACUGGAUCUGAAGAUUACAGAAGCACCCACCAAUUAACUCUCUAUCUCUUCCUCAAUUUCUCUUACAAGAAGACAAAACAAGAUCCCCAAAUUUGUCAGGCUGGAUCGCGUCGUGGUUCGCCCGCUUCGUCACCGUUCAGGUGUGGUCCAUAUCGAGCAGUUGCUGGUCGGUUCCAAUUCGCCACUCCGCGCACACCACCGUCGUCGCUCGGCGUCACCGUUCCGGCAGCCCCGAUUCCACCCGAUUAGCCCCGAGAUCGAAGCUUCAGGUUUCCCCCUUUCCGAAUUUGGUUCCAAAUUUCUGUCAAGAAAAGGUUCUGGUGGGAAAUCACCUUACGAAGAAAAAAAAACAAGGGAAAACCGUGAAAAGAAUGAUUACCGUGUUGAAAUUAGGAUUUGGUUGGGAAAGGAUGAGCUCCUUCAUCCUACUGCUCCCUCCGCAGCCUGAGGAAAUUUUGAGGUGCAAAGUGAGAAUGAGUGACUGCGAAUUUGUGUGAGGAAAAGGGUUUAGGGUAUGGGUAUUAAUAUACCGUGUAUUGAGAGUCAUUUCUGGUGAUUGAUUUCACUUUGAUUGUGGUCACAAAUUAGGAAAGAUUUGCAGAGGAGAAGCGAUUAUGGAGCGUGGGAGGGGAACGUAGAAUAGGUAAUUGAUUCUCAAAAUAAAAGCAAUUAAAGGUGAUUGGGGUUUAUUUUUGGUGCGGAUUGAGGAUUGGUAAAAACGCAAAUGUGCUGAAGGAAUAUUUGCCUUUCAUUGUGUGUAUUUGAUUUCACUAUUAAUUGGGGUUUAAUUGUUACCUUGUCUAAA